This 482-nucleotide ribosomal RNA is filed under the name uncultured bacterium. RNAcentral's name for it is "bacterial SSU rRNA". It matches the Rfam family "Bacterial small subunit ribosomal RNA", at positions 30 to 506 of the family's 1533-position model. The record is from RNAcentral.
UUGAACGCUGGCGGCAUGCUUUACACAUGCAAGUCGAACGGCAGCACGGGGGCAACCCUGGUGGCGAGUGGCGAACGGGUGAGUAAUAUAUCGGAACAUAUCCGGGAGUGGGGGAUAACGUAGCGAAAGUUACGCUAAUACCGCAUAUGCCCUGAGGGGGAAAGUGGGGGAUCGCAAGACCUCACGCUUUCGGAGUGGCCGAUAUCGGAUUAGCUAGUUGGUGGGGUAAAGGCCCACCAAGGCGACGAUCCGUAGCUGGUCUGAGAGGACGACCAGCCACACUGGGACUGAGACACGGCCCAGACUCCUACGGGAGGCAGCAGUGGGGAAUUUUGGACAAUGGGGGCAACCCUGAUCCAGCCAUUCCGCGUGAGUGAAGAAGGCCUUCGGGUUGUAAAGCUCUUUCAGCAGGAGCGAAACGGUCGUUUUUAAUACAGACGGCUAAUGACGGUACCUGCAGAAGAAGCACCGGCUAACUACGU